AGCUUACAUUAACCAAAGCAUGGCACUGAAGAUGCCAAGAUGGCAUUAGUAAACUGCCCGAAGACAAAAGACU
This 73-nucleotide transfer RNA is filed under the name Trogon personatus. RNAcentral describes it as "tRNA-Phe". The record is from RNAcentral. Lineage: Eukaryota; Metazoa; Chordata; Aves; Trogoniformes; Trogonidae.